GGCCAGGGAUCGAACCUGCAUUCUCAUGGAUACUAGUCGAGUUUAUUACCACUGAGCCAUAACAGGAACUCCAAGGUUUUUUUUUAACAACCUAUUGUGCCGAUGUCUAUGAGAUCGGACAUCCCCUUUUAUAGAUGGGCCCUGGGUUUGAGCAGCAUUUGUUUGCCUUCUGCCAACUGGCUCUUGCUCAGUUUUGGUUAUACAGUUACCCCUUGGAAUCUGCAAAGAAUUGGUUCCAGGACCCCUUUGGGUACCAAAGUCCAUGGAUGCACGUUUCCUUACAGUCAGCCUCCCUUAUCUGUGGGAAUCCAUGUGCAUCCAUGGGAAAAUGUGUGCAUUCAUGGGAAGGGAGGGUUGACUGUCUAAGAGAAACACAGAUCCUUUUUUAUUAGUGGUUUUCUUACUUUGUUACUUAAUAUAGCAAAGUCAAAAAUUACUUACUUAUCUCCUCCUAAAUCUUAGUUUGCCUUAAUUGCCUUCAUUCUGCUUCCAUCUUACUUAACUUUACUGAGCUUCAGGUCCCUUGUUAAUAAAACCUAAAUUCCAAGGGGUUUGCUUGUUAAUUCUAGUAUCCUCAGUGCCUGGUUUAGUAUCUGACACUUCGUAGGUGCUAAGUAAAUGCUAAUUGACUAUAUGAAUGAAUAAGGUAAUAGCACCUACUUUGCAGAGGUUGUGAGGUUUAGAUAAAAUACAUGUCAAGUGCCUAAUACCAGGGUUAGGGCACCAACCAACAGCAGAUAUUCUCACCAAAAAAAAAGACAAAAAAAAAAAAAAAAAAAAAAAAAGAUUGCCUAAGCCAAGAUGCUUAUGGCUUUCUACUUUUUCCAUGCUAAGAAAGAGCAUAAAUCAUUGUUUGGGGUUCUGGUGGAUUAGUAGGGUUAAACUGUCACACAGUGCACAUUUUCUAUGGAAUCCCACUCUACUUAGGGUGUAUGUGGAUUGCCAAGUACUACACUCUCCAGUAGGGUAGCCACUGGCCACAUGUGCCUAUUUAAAUUUAAAUUAAUUAAAAUUAAAAUUUCAUUUAGACAUUCACUAAACUUUGCUCAGUGACUUCAGGUGACUGGGUGGCUGGCAUUUUGGAUAGUGCUUAUCUAAAACAUUUCCAUCAUUGCAUGAAGGUCUGUUGGGUAGAGCUGGCCUAGAGUCCGUGGUGGCUGUAAGUAAUGCGGUAGAGUGUGGGGCAGGACCAUAAAUUAGGAGGCUGAAACAUAACCAUGACACGACAAGCUCCUGAACUUGAGAAAAUGGAGAAGGGAGGACAAGCUCUUAGGACAUUUUGGAGAAAGAAUGGACAGAAUCUUGUGGCAGAGCAAGGUGGGCACUUAGUGCAAGGACUCUGGAGCUUGGCAGGGUUGAGAUCCUAGCUCCAUUGCUCUCCAGCCGUGGUGACUAGCCACUUAAGGUCUUCAAGCCUAGUUUCUGUGUAUAAAAUGGGAUUAAUAGUAUCUACCACAAGGUGAUUGAGAGCAUUAAAUUAGGAUGAAUGGAUUAAGUAGAAAGGCUUAGCACAGGGAGAGUCAUAAGUAGAGCAAAAUAGUCGAUAAUCAUACUGUUUUAGGGUUCUAGGUUGGGGGCCAGGGGAAGUGGUGUUGAUGGACAGAAGCACCUCUCUCUGCAUAUUUCCUUUUAGGACCUCCCCACCCCCCCACCCCGCAACCUGGAGGCCUCAGUGCUGCAGAUCUCUGUAUGGUCUCCCUGGCAAGGUCCCAAACUCUGGACUGUUUCCCUGUCAGUAUCAAACAUCCCUGUCUUGUGUUCCAUUCCCAAAUCCGCAAGAUGGCAAAACAAGGGAGUCAAAUUUUAGGUUGAAAAAGACCAAAAUGGUUAUGUAUCUCCCCCUCCCCUCGAUCUGAUAUUUGAAGCUAUUCUACAGCAAGAUUAUCUAUCAUCAUUAAAAUAAUCACAUCCAUAUUGGAAGGUCUUCUGUUUGACUUAUUACAUGAAAAUAUAUUGUCCAUUUCCCAGAGGAGGACAUUGGGGUUCAGAGAGUCUCUUGUUAUCCCUUCAAAGAAUAAGACAUCAAAGAUUUCUUCAGCUUGGUCAUUCCUCUGUUGCUUUUUUUUUUUUUUCUGUUGCCUGUCUGGUUUCCUGGGGUUAGUCAGAUGUCAGCAUGCUUCACAGGAAGCGUGGCAAGAAGGAGAGCUUUGCCCAUGAGGUGCCUGGCUGAAGGUGGAGGCAGAGAGCAGGGCAGCCCACCUUCUGGGGUCUGUAGGAAAGAGGAAAAGAGAGCAGAGAGUGGGAUGUGGCUAUGGGACUGAGUAUAUUGACCAGCAUCUUGGACCUAAAGGAGGAAGCCAAUCUUCCCAGUCUAGACAGCGGAAGCAGUGUGUAUUCUGGUUGAACAUUUGAUUAAAUUUACUGCAUUGAAGAAAUCUUGCCAGCAGGUGGCAACAUGAAACCAAUAACUCAGGAUCCAAAUGCAAGCUUUCCUGAGAAGUGCUGCUGUGUCCUUGGCAGAGUGGGUGUCUAGCUUCCUCUUGUGAUUUCUGGGAUGCUGGAUUCUCCACCUCUGCUACCUGGGGGCUCACCUUGGUUUCCUUAAGGCCCUCAGGACAAGUCUCCAUGUCUUAGCCCUGCCCUGACCCUCCUGGUCUGGUGAGUGAGUCCCUGUUUUUCUUUUGUCCUCCCUUGCUCCCUGCCUCUGGACUUAAUGCUCCUCACCCGCCUUGUUCUUCCACAUUCCAGGCUUUUUUUUUUCCUGCUGGUCACUCUGUCCUGAAAACCAUUCUCCCCUCCCCCAUCUGCUUAAUUCAACCUUGUCAUCCUUGGGGACUCAGUGCAAAGCUUGCUCACAGGAGGCACAUUCUACUCCAUCCUCCCCCCAACCUGCCCCAGCCUGGUGGGGUCCCUUCACCAUGCAUCUGCCUGUUAUAGCACUGGUGGCCCCAGGUCUGACUCUUCUGUUUGUCUGCCUUCCUCCUUGAUGGUCCCCUUGACGGUUGGCACCAUGUCCUAUCCAUUUUGGGUUAUUCUUAGUGCCAGGCAUGGAGGAGGUGCAUUAAAAAAAAGUUGAUAAGCAAAUGAACAAAUGGGUGUUUAUAAAGUGGGCCAGUGAUCUGGCUGGGGUAAUUCCGCUGGGGCCCUUGUGGAGCCCCAAAAGACUGAGUCUCUCAUAGUCAUAGACAGCCAUCACCCGGGAGGCCGGCUCUCCCUGGCCAGCAGGGUAGGGUAUUUGUGUUUUCCGCGUGGGGCAUUUCUUGCUUCAUCUCAACAGCCUCAUUGAUUCUCCUUAAAUACCUCCAAGGAAGAAUGCAUUCUCUCAAGAUUCAAAACAAAACAAAACAAAACAAAAAAACGGGUAAUUUAAAUAAGUAGAAGGAAAAUGCAUUUUAAUUGUAUUAUUAUACUAAUUCAUGUCUCCUGCCCCCCUUGAAAAGGUGCUUUUUCACAGUGUGGAAGCCCAUUAGGGACAAGAGUUGAAACUAAUUGUUUCAGAUGGCUGCUGAGAGAUGCUGGGUCUUGUUUUUAUAGCUCUCAAAGCAGGUGGGUAAACAGCCCCCUUGUGGCUGGCUCUACAAGGCCAGAUCGGUUUCAGGACUUGGGGACCAUAGC
This 3555-nucleotide long non-coding RNA is filed under the name Sus scrofa (pig). Its description in RNAcentral is "lncRNA (ENSSSCG00035044443.1, ENSSSCG00055015052.1)". The record is from RNAcentral. Lineage: Eukaryota; Metazoa; Chordata; Mammalia; Artiodactyla; Suidae.